AUUGAACGCUGGCGGCAGGCUUAACACAUGCAAGUCGGACGGUAACAGGUCUUUCGGGAUGCUGACGAGUGGCGGACGGGUGAGUAAUGCUUGGGAAUCUGUUUGUUAGUGGGGGAUAACUCGGGGAAACCAGGGCUAAUACCGCAUACGUCUUUAGGGGGAAAGCAGGGGAUCGUAAGACCUUGCGCUAAUGAGUGAGCCCAAGUCGGAUUAGUUUGUUGGUGAGGUAAAGGCUCACCAAGACUGCGAUCCGUAGCUGGUCUGAGAGGAUGAUCAGCCACACUGGGACUGAGACACGGCCCAGACUCCUACGGGAGGCAGCAGUGGGGAAUAUUGGACAAUGGGCGCAAGCCUGAUCCAGCCAUGCCGCGUGUGUGAAGAAGGUCUUAUGAUUGUAAAGCACUUUAAGUCAGGAGGAAGGUGCGAGGGC
This 430-nucleotide ribosomal RNA is filed under the name uncultured Gammaproteobacteria bacterium. Its description in RNAcentral is "bacterial SSU rRNA". It matches the Rfam family "Bacterial small subunit ribosomal RNA", at positions 30 to 460 of the family's 1533-position model. Lineage: Bacteria; Pseudomonadati; Pseudomonadota; Gammaproteobacteria. The record is from RNAcentral.